Molecule: ribosomal RNA, 238 nt
Filed under: uncultured bacterium
Lineage: Bacteria
Description: partial 16S ribosomal RNA
Rfam family: Bacterial small subunit ribosomal RNA
Source: RNAcentral
AAUGAACGUUGGCGGCGUGGAUUAGGCAUGCAAGUCGCGCGAGAAGCGUAGCAAUACGUGGAAAGCGGCGUAAGGGAGAGUAAUCCAUGGUUAGCUACCCUCGGGACUGGGAUAGCGGCGGGAAACUGCCGGUAAUACCAGAUGACAUCUUCGGAUCAAAGGUGUGAAUCCGCCCGGGGAGGCGACCAUGUCCUAUCAGCUUGUUGGCGGGGUAAUGGCCCACCAAGGCUAAACGGGU